RNAcentral lists this unclassified non-coding RNA (352 nucleotides) under soil metagenome. RNAcentral's name for it is "partial contains 5.8S ribosomal RNA, internal transcribed spacer 2, and large subunit ribosomal RNA". The stretch from base 1 to 120 matches the Rfam family "5.8S ribosomal RNA", at positions 35 to 154 of the family's 154-position model. The record is from RNAcentral.
GAUGAAGAACGCAGCGAAAUGCGACAAGUAAUGUGAAUUGCAGAAUUCCGUGAAUCAUCGAAUCUUUGAACGCACAUUGCGCCCGCCAGCACUCUGGCGGGCAUGCCUGUCCGAGCGUCAUUUCAACCCUCGCGCCGUCCCUCCAGGGGGCUCGGCGCGGUGUUGGGGGACACGGCCCCGGCCGCCCCCGAAAUGCAGUGGCGACCCCGCCGCGGCCCCUCCAGCGCAGUAAGCACGCUCGCUACGGGAGGCCCGGUGGACGCGUCCGCCGUAAAACGCCCAACUCUUCAGAAGUUGACCUCGGAUCAGGUAGGGAUACCCGCUGAACUUAAGCAUAUCAAUAAGCGGAGGA